This 253-nucleotide ribosomal RNA is filed under the name uncultured bacterium. RNAcentral describes it as "partial 16S ribosomal RNA". It matches the Rfam family "Bacterial small subunit ribosomal RNA", at positions 524 to 776 of the family's 1533-position model. The record is from RNAcentral.
UACAGAGGUCUCAAGCGUUGUUCGGAUUCAUUGGGCGUAAAGGGUGCGUAGGCGGCGAGGUUAGUCGGAUGUGAAAUCCCGGGGCUCAACCCCGGAACUGCAUUCGAUACUGCCUUGCUAGAGUACUGGAGAGGAGACUGGAAUUUACGGUGUAGCAGUGAAAUGCGUAGAUAUCGUAAGGAAGACCAGUGGCGAAGGCGAGUCUCUGGACAGUUACUGACGCUGAGGCACGAAGGCCAGGGGAGCAAACGGG